RNAcentral lists this ribosomal RNA (369 nucleotides) under Triticum aestivum (bread wheat). RNAcentral describes it as "partial small subunit ribosomal RNA". Lineage: Eukaryota; Viridiplantae; Streptophyta; Magnoliopsida; Poales; Poaceae. The record is from RNAcentral.
AUGGAUGAUGAGAUUGAAGAACCUACUGAUGGGUCCUUCACAACACGUUUUUCAGCUUCUCGCUUGCGUCAGGUUGCUGAGAAACAUCUGAAUGACGACAAGAGGGGAAUCUUAAAUGAUUGCAACUUUGUUUCUUUGAUGAAUAUUUCCCCCUUUUAUGUACCAGAUGAGCUGCUAGACCGGGUAGUCAUGAAGAUUGACCCUAAACAGGGUUUGUUUAGUCAUAAAGAGAAAGAUAUAUUUGUACUUGAGAAGGUGAGGAACCACGAAAUUGUGACCAUCGAGAGGUCUUGGGUUCUUUUAUGCAUCACGCUUGUGCUAGUGCUUCGCACCGGCAACAUGGUGCCCUUGAGUACCUUGCUAGCCUGA